GAUCGGGGACGAGCAGAAGCCCAGUUACACCCAGCACAUCCCCGCUAAUACCAAAGUGAUGCUCAUCAGUGAUAUCGAUGGAGACGGGCGCUGUGAGCUUGUCGUUGGCUACACGGACCGGGUGGUGAGGGCGUUCAGGUGGGAGGAACCCUCUGAUGCUUCAGAUUUGAGCUCUGGUCAGCUGGUCUUACUGAAGAAAUGGCUUCUGGAGGGUCAGGUUGACAGUCUCUCGGUUAACCCAAGUCCAGAAGGUCUCC
Long non-coding RNA from Sinocyclocheilus anshuiensis, 257 nucleotides. RefSeq lists it as uncharacterized. Lineage: Eukaryota; Metazoa; Chordata; Actinopteri; Cypriniformes; Cyprinidae. The transcript has 3 exons. The record is from RefSeq and is a predicted model, not a curated record.